This 468-nucleotide ribosomal RNA is filed under the name uncultured bacterium. RNAcentral describes it as "partial 16S ribosomal RNA". It matches the Rfam family "Bacterial small subunit ribosomal RNA", at positions 28 to 507 of the family's 1533-position model. The record is from RNAcentral.
GACGAACGCUGGCGGCGUGCUUAACACAUGCAAGUCGAACGGUGAAGCCCCAGCUUGCUGGAGUGGAUCAGUGGCGAACGGGUGAGUAACACGUGAGCAACCUGCCCCUGACUCUGGAAUAAGCUCUGGAAACGGCGUCUAAUACUGGAUACGAGAAGGGUCCGCAUGGGCACUUUCUGGAAAGUUUUUCGGUUGGGGAUGGGCUCGCGGCUUAUCAGCUUGUUGGUGGGGUAAUGGCUCACCAAGGCGACGACGGGUAGCCGGCCUGAGAGGGCGACCGGCCACACUGGGACUGAGACACGGCCCAGACUCCUACGGGAGGCAGCAGUGGGGAAUAUUGCACAAUGGGCGCAAGCCUGAUGCAGCGACGCCGCGUGAGGGAUGACGGCCUUCGGGUUGUAAACCGCUUUCGGCAGGGAAGAAGCGAAAGUGACGGUACCUGCAGAAGAAGCACCGGCUAACUACGUG